GCGAGGGUGGCGGAAUUGGUAGACGCGCUAGACUUAGGAUCUAGUGCCCUUACGGGCGUGAGAGUUCGAGUCUCUCCCUUCGUA
Molecule: transfer RNA, 84 nt
Filed under: Calditrichota bacterium
Lineage: Bacteria; Pseudomonadati; Calditrichota
Description: Calditrichaeota bacterium (bioreactor metagenome) tRNA-Leu
Rfam family: tRNA
About the family: Transfer RNA (tRNA) molecules are approximately 80 nucleotides in length. Their secondary structure includes four short double-helical elements and three loops (D, anti-codon, and T loops). Further hydrogen bonds mediate the characteristic L-shaped molecular structure. tRNAs have two regions of fundamental functional importance: the anti-codon, which is responsible for specific mRNA codon recognition, and the 3' end, to which the tRNAs corresponding amino acid is attached (by aminoacyl-tRNA synthetases). tRNAs cope with the degeneracy of the genetic code in two manners: having more than one tRNA (with a specific anti-codon) for a particular amino acid; and 'wobble' base-pairing, i.e. permitting non-standard base-pairing at the 3rd anti-codon position.
Source: RNAcentral